RNAcentral lists this microRNA precursor (94 nucleotides) under Marmota monax (woodchuck). Lineage: Eukaryota; Metazoa; Chordata; Mammalia; Rodentia; Sciuridae. The record is from RNAcentral.
AAUCAAGUCAUCUGGGGGAACUUAUUGAACUUUAGAACCCAAUUCAGUGGGCCCCAGAUUCUGCAUUUUUAGUAAGUACCCAGAUGAUCUUGGU